This 2923-nucleotide ribosomal RNA is filed under the name Klebsiella pneumoniae. RNAcentral's name for it is "bacterial LSU rRNA". It matches the Rfam family "Bacterial large subunit ribosomal RNA". RNAcentral also lists the same sequence under 1 other name. Lineage: Bacteria; Pseudomonadati; Pseudomonadota; Gammaproteobacteria; Enterobacterales; Enterobacteriaceae. The record is from RNAcentral.
GGGUUGUGAGGUUAAGCGACUAAGCGUACACGGUGGAUGCCCUGGCAGUCAGAGGCGAUGAAGGACGUGCUAAUCUGCGAAAAGCGUCGGUAAGGUGAUAUGAACCGUUAUAACCGGCGAUGUCCGAAUGGGGAAACCCAGUGCAAUUCGUUGCACUAUCGUUAACUGAAUACAUAGGUUAACGAGGCGAACCGGGGGAACUGAAACAUCUAAGUACCCCGAGGAAAAGAAAUCAACCGAGAUUCCCCCAGUAGCGGCGAGCGAACGGGGAGCAGCCCAGAGUCUGAAUCAGCUUGUGUGUUAGUGGAACGGUCUGGAAAGUCCGACGGUACAGGGUGAUAGUCCCGUACACCAAAAUGCACAGGUUGUGAACUCGAAGAGUAGGGCGGGACACGUGGUAUCCUGUCUGAAUAUGGGGGGACCAUCCUCCAAGGCUAAAUACUCCUGACUGACCGAUAGUGAACCAGUACCGUGAGGGAAAGGCGAAAAGAACCCCGGCGAGGGGAGUGAAAAAGAACCUGAAACCGUGUACGUACAAGCAGUGGGAGCACCUUCGGGUGUGACUGCGUACCUUUUGUAUAAUGGGUCAGCGACUUAUAUUCUGUAGCAAGGUUAACCGUAUAGGGGAGCCGCAGGGAAACCGAGUCUUAACUGGGCGUUAAGUUGCAGGGUAUAGACCCGAAACCCGGUGAUCUAGCCAUGGGCAGGUUGAAGGUUGGGUAACACUAACUGGAGGACCGAACCGACUAAUGUUGAAAAAUUAGCGGAUGACUUGUGGCUGGGGGUGAAAGGCCAAUCAAACCGGGAGAUAGCUGGUUCUCCCCGAAAGCUAUUUAGGUAGCGCCUCGUGAAUUCAUCUUCGGGGGUAGAGCACUGUUUCGGCUAGGGGGUCAUCCCGACUUACCAACCCGAUGCAAACUACGAAUACCGAAGAAUGUUAUCACGGGAGACACACGGCGGGUGCUAACGUCCGUCGUGAAGAGGGAAACAACCCAGACCGCCAGCUAAGGUCCCAAAGUCAUGGUUAAGUGGGAAACGAUGUGGGAAGGCACAGACAGCCAGGAUGUUGGCUUAGAAGCAGCCAUCAUUUAAAGAAAGCGUAAUAGCUCACUGGUCGAGUCGGCCUGCGCGGAAGAUGUAACGGGGCUAAACCAUGCACCGAAGCUGCGGCAGCGACACUAUGUGUUGUUGGGUAGGGGAGCGUUCUGUAAGCCUGCGAAGGUGACCUGUGAGGGUUGCUGGAGGUAUCAGAAGUGCGAAUGCUGACAUAAGUAACGAUAAAGCGGGUGAAAAGCCCGCUCGCCGGAAGACCAAGGGUUCCUGUCCAACGUUAAUCGGGGCAGGGUGAGUCGACCCCUAAGGCGAGGCCGAAAGGCGUAGUCGAUGGGAAACAGGUUAAUAUUCCUGUACUUGGUGUUACUGCGAAGGGGGGACGGAGAAGGCUAUGUUAGCCGGGCGACGGUUGUCCCGGUUUAAGCAUGUAGGCUGGUUAUCCAGGCAAAUCCGGAUAAUCAAGGCUGAGGUGUGAUGACGAGGCACUACGGUGCUGAAGUAACAAAUGCCCUGCUUCCAGGAAAAGCCUCUAAGCAUCAGGUAACAUCAAAUCGUACCCCAAACCGACACAGGUGGUCAGGUAGAGAAUACCAAGGCGCUUGAGAGAACUCGGGUGAAGGAACUAGGCAAAAUGGUGCCGUAACUUCGGGAGAAGGCACGCUGGUGUGUAGGUGAAGCCCCUGCGGGUGGAGCUGAGACCAGUCGAAGAUACCAGCUGGCUGCAACUGUUUAUUAAAAACACAGCACUGUGCAAACACGAAAGUGGACGUAUACGGUGUGACGCCUGCCCGGUGCCGGAAGGUUAAUUGAUGGGGUUAUCCGUAAGGAGAAGCUCUUGAUCGAAGCCCCGGUAAACGGCGGCCGUAACUAUAACGGUCCUAAGGUAGCGAAAUUCCUUGUCGGGUAAGUUCCGACCUGCACGAAUGGCGUAAUGAUGGCCAGGCUGUCUCCACCCGAGACUCAGUGAAAUUGAACUCGCUGUGAAGAUGCAGUGUACCCGCGGCAAGACGGAAAGACCCCGUGAACCUUUACUAUAGCUUGACACUGAACAUUGAGCCUUGAUGUGUAGGAUAGGUGGGAGGCUUUGAAGCGUGGACGCCAGUCUGCGUGGAGCCAACCUUGAAAUACCACCCUUUAAUGUUUGAUGUUCUAACGUUGGCCCCUGACCGGGGUUGCGGACAGUGUCUGGUGGGUAGUUUGACUGGGGCGGUCUCCUCCCAAAGCGUAACGGAGGAGCACGAAGGUUAGCUAAUCCUGGUCGGACAUCAGGAGGUUAGUGCAAUGGCAUAAGCUAGCUUGACUGCGAGCGUGACGGCGCGAGCAGGUGCGAAAGCAGGUCAUAGUGAUCCGGUGGUUCUGAAUGGAAGGGCCAUCGCUCAACGGAUAAAAGGUACUCCGGGGAUAACAGGCUGAUACCGCCCAAGAGUUCAUAUCGACGGCGGUGUUUGGCACCUCGAUGUCGGCUCAUCACAUCCUGGGGCUGAAGUAGGUCCCAAGGGUAUGGCUGUUCGCCAUUUAAAGUGGUACGCGAGCUGGGUUUAGAACGUCGUGAGACAGUUCGGUCCCUAUCUGCCGUGGGCGCUGGAGAAUUGAGGGGGGCUGCUCCUAGUACGAGAGGACCGGAGUGGACGCAUCACUGGUGUUCGGGUUGUCAUGCCAAUGGCACUGCCCGGUAGCUAAAUGCGGAAGAGAUAAGUGCUGAAAGCAUCUAAGCACGAAACUUGCCCCGAGAUGAGUUCUCCCUGAGACUUUAAGUCUCCUGAAGGAACGUUGAAGACGACGACGUUGAUAGGCCGGGUGUGUAAGCGCAGCGAUGCGUUGAGCUAACCGGUACUAAUGAACCGUGAGGCUUAACCUUACAACGCCGAAG